Molecule: microRNA precursor, 191 nt
Filed under: Oryza nivara
Lineage: Eukaryota; Viridiplantae; Streptophyta; Magnoliopsida; Poales; Poaceae
Description: MIR812 microRNA precursor family
Rfam family: MIR812 microRNA precursor family
Source: Rfam by way of RNAcentral
AAAAAGACAAACGCUGAGUUUCCAUAUCCAAUUUUGAUGGUCCGUCUUAAAUGAAAUUUUUUUAUAAUUCGUAUUUUCAUUGUUGUUAGAUGAUAAAACAUGAUUAAUAUUUUAUGCGUGACUUGUCUUUUUAAUAUUUUUCAUAAUUUUUUCAAAUAAGAUACCGUUGGGCACGGAAACCAGAGUUUAUA